AGUAGAGACGGCGUUUCACCGUGUUAGCCAGGAUGGUCUCCAUCUCCUGACCUCGUGAUCCACCCGCCUCGGCCUCCCAAGGUGCUCGGAUUACAGGCGUGAGCCACCGCGCCCAGCCUAUCCUAGCCAUUCUGCCUCAUCACGCCCUGACACCCGGGUUCACUGUCCAUUUCCCCACCCACUACGCUGUGAAUGGCAGAUGGACCUGACAGCAGUAACUUAAGCAUACCCUGAAAAUGACCCUUUGGUCUAAGAAGAAAGUGUGUUUGGAGUCUUGAGCUAAGGAAUCUGGGAGUGGCCAACUAGGAGUCUCACUUCUUUUCUAUGAAGAGAUCUGAACCCCUGGCCUGUUGGUCCCUUGGAAUGCAGGCCGUACAGGGGAUCCAGGCCCUUUGUUGUGGCUUAAAUGGAGGUUGCUAGGUGGAGAGGGCUCCACAAAAAUUGCUAUAUAAAUUGCAUGCUUUUUACAAAUGAUAGUGUUUCUCCUGUCCAGGCCACUGCCACUGGAUCACUUUUGUAUCUAAGUCCUCAAUAAACUCCAUGUCUCAUUCACUGGCUCUGGGUCUCUUCUUCGGCCUCUUGGACAUGGUGCCAUUCUUAUUGGAGUCAAUA
This 612-nucleotide long non-coding RNA is filed under the name Homo sapiens (human). Its description in RNAcentral is "HSALNT0278735". Lineage: Eukaryota; Metazoa; Chordata; Mammalia; Primates; Hominidae. The record is from RNAcentral.